CAGCAGCCGCGGGAAAACAGAGGGUGCGAGCGUUAAUCGGAUUUACUGGGCGUAAAGCGUGCGUAGGCGGCUUCUUAAGUCGGAUGUGAAAUCCCUGAGCUUAACUUAGGAAUUGCAUUCGAUACUGGGAAGCUAGAGUAUGGGAGAGGAUGGUAGAAUUCCAGGUGUAGCGGUGAAAUGCGUAGAGAUCUGGAGGAAUACCGGUGGCGAAGGCGGCCCCCUGGACAAAGACUGACGCUCAGGUGCGAAAGCGUGGGGAGCAAACAGGAUUAGAUACCCCCGUAGUCCCUGUCUCUUAUAC
RNAcentral lists this ribosomal RNA (301 nucleotides) under uncultured bacterium. RNAcentral's name for it is "partial 16S ribosomal RNA". It matches the Rfam family "Bacterial small subunit ribosomal RNA", at positions 509 to 807 of the family's 1533-position model. The record is from RNAcentral.